Molecule: small RNA, 330 nt
Filed under: Pongo abelii (Sumatran orangutan)
Lineage: Eukaryota; Metazoa; Chordata; Mammalia; Primates; Hominidae
Description: retained intron
Source: RNAcentral
UGAGGACAGGCUGGCCUGCUUGCAGGUUUGGAAAGCCUGCAGCCAGGCCAGGCUCAGGGCUGAGCAUCCACUGAGUCUGGCUGGAAAGUCGGCAACCUGGUUCCUCUUGGUUCUCUCUUACAGCGAGUCCCUGUGGCCCAUCGAGGCCAGAAACGCAGCCAUUGCCAAUCACUGCUUUACCUGCGCCAUCAAUCGUGUGGGCACCGAGCACUUCCCGAACGAGUUUACCUCGGGAGAUGGAAAGAAAGCUCACCAGGACUUUGGCUACUUUUAUGGCUCAAGCUAUGUGGCAGCCCCUGAUGGCAGCCGGACUCCUGGGCUGUCCCGUAG